Molecule: transfer RNA, 72 nt
Filed under: Loxodonta africana (African savanna elephant)
Lineage: Eukaryota; Metazoa; Chordata; Mammalia; Proboscidea; Elephantidae
Rfam family: tRNA
About the family: Transfer RNA (tRNA) molecules are approximately 80 nucleotides in length. Their secondary structure includes four short double-helical elements and three loops (D, anti-codon, and T loops).
Source: Rfam by way of RNAcentral
ACCAAAUAGCUCAGUUCGGAGAGCGUUAGACUGAAGAUCUAAAGGUCCCUGGUUCAAACCUAAGUUUUGGCA